This 381-nucleotide ribosomal RNA is filed under the name uncultured eukaryote. RNAcentral's name for it is "partial 18S ribosomal RNA". It matches the Rfam family "Eukaryotic small subunit ribosomal RNA", at positions 592 to 976 of the family's 1831-position model. The record is from RNAcentral.
CAAUAGCGUAUAUUAAAGUUGUUGCGGUAAAAAAGCUCGUAGUUGGAUUUCUACCGAAGAUAGCCGGUCGGGUCUUCGACCUUGUAUCUGGUUUUGUCUUUGGUAUCCUCAUAGGGAACGUUUCUGCGCUUUAUUGCGUGGUGCGGUAUCUAUGACUUUUACGUUGAGGAAAUUAGAGUGUUCACGGCAGGCAAACGCCUUGAAUAUAUUAGCAUGGAAUAAUAACAUAGGAUCUUCGUCCUAUUUUGUUGGUUUCUAGGGCUAAGAUAAUGAUUAAUAGGGAUAAUUGGGGGCAUCUGUAUCAACGCGUCAGAGGUGGAAUUCUUGGAUUGCGUUGCGACAAACUACUGCGAAAGCAUUUGCCAAGGAUGUUUUCAUUGA